GAGCUCUAUCUGUUCCUGGUGAAAACGCUGACUGAAAGCCUGCAGCUCUCUCAGGACAGAUUACACACUGCAGACAGGCUACUGCUUUCCACGUUAGUGCUUCAGACCAUAAGCCUGAUGCUCGGUGAGACGGAGAAAGGAGCUGCUCGCUUUAGCGCACUAACGUCCAAGCAGGGAAGCGUGACUGCAGACUUGCUCUUGGCUUUGGUGUGUGUGAUCCUGAGCUAAAGCCUUACAACUGCAAUUCUACAUCUCACACAGAGGUAAGACACAACACUGUUAUCUGUCUUGUUUGUGUUAUUGCUGUACUGGAUAUAGUUUCAAUAAGAAUGAAUCAUCUGUGUCUGGACAUAACCAGUG
This is a long non-coding RNA of Clarias gariepinus (North African catfish), 360 nucleotides long. RefSeq lists it as uncharacterized. The transcript has 3 exons. Lineage: Eukaryota; Metazoa; Chordata; Actinopteri; Siluriformes; Clariidae. The record is from RefSeq and is a predicted model, not a curated record.